RNAcentral lists this ribosomal RNA (460 nucleotides) under uncultured bacterium. Its description in RNAcentral is "partial 16S ribosomal RNA". It matches the Rfam family "Bacterial small subunit ribosomal RNA", at positions 338 to 795 of the family's 1533-position model. The record is from RNAcentral.
CCUACGGGAGGCAGCAGUGAGGAAUAUUGGUCAAUGGACGCAAGUCUGACCCAGCCAUGCCGCGUGCAGGAAGAAGGCUCUAUGAGUUGUAACCUGCUUUUGUACGAGGGUAAACGCAGAUACGCGUAUCUGUCUGAAAGUAACGUACGAAUAAGGAUCGGCUAAGCCCGGUCCAGUCGCCGCGGUAAUACGGAGGAUUCAAGCGUUACGCGGAUUUAUUGGGUUUAAAGGGUGCGUAGGCGGUCUGAUAAGUUAGGGGUGAAAUCCCGAGGCUCAACGUCGGAAUUGCCUUUGAUACUGUUCGGCUAGAGAGUAGUAGCGGUAGGCGGAAGUCAUGGUGUAGCGGUGAAAUGCUUAGAGAUCAUACAGAACACCGAUUGCGAAGGCAGCUUACCAAGAUACUUCUGACGUUGAGGCACGAAAGCGUGGGGAGCAAACAGGAUUAGAUACCCGAGUAGUC